GUGGGGAAUCUUGCGCAAUGGGCGAAAGCCUGACGCAGCCAUGCCGCGUGAAUGAUGAAGGUCUUAGGAUUGUAAAAUUCUUUCACCGGGGACGAUAAUGACGGUACCCGGAGAAGAAGCUCCGGCUAACUUCGUGCCAGCAGCCGCGGUAAUACGAAGGGGGCUAGCGUUGCUCGGAAUUACUGGGCGUAAAGGGCGCGUAGGCGGACAGCUUAGUCAGAGGUGAAAGCCCAGGGCUCAACCUUGGAAUUGCCUUUGAUACUGGCUGGCUUGAGUUUGGGAGAGGUGAGUGGAACUCCGAGUGUAGAGGUGAAAUUCGUAGAUAUUCGGAAGAACACCAGUGGCGAAGGCGACUCACUGGCCCAAUACUGACGCUGAGGCGCGAAAGCGUGGGGAGCAAACAGGAUUAGAAACCCGAGUAGUCC
This 425-nucleotide ribosomal RNA is filed under the name uncultured bacterium. Its description in RNAcentral is "partial 16S ribosomal RNA". It matches the Rfam family "Bacterial small subunit ribosomal RNA", at positions 354 to 796 of the family's 1533-position model. The record is from RNAcentral.